Molecule: long non-coding RNA, 589 nt
Organism: Patella vulgata (common limpet)
Lineage: Eukaryota; Metazoa; Mollusca; Gastropoda; Patellidae
Exons: 3
Source: RefSeq, a predicted model, not a curated record
ACAAUUGAUAUUAGUCCACCACAACAAGGGAUGGUGCAUGACGGUAAAUAUGGUACACCGGAAGUAGACUUUCAGCCAGAUUUAGAACUAUUUGCACACUGGGAAGGUUUCUUUGAUAGAGAGAGUGGAGUGAAAUUUUAUCAGUAUGGGUUUUCCACGUCUUGUUUGGGUGCCAAUAAAUUUCAACUGGAUCUUGCAAAUAGACAGGAUGUUCAACAGACUACAUCUACGCAUGCUUCUUGGACAGCACCGUCUGGUGGUAAAUAUUACAUCACCGUGGUAGCAUAUAACCGAGCUUUAGAAGUAUCUGUACCAGUUUGUUCUGAUGGAGUGGUUGUAGAUAGAACAUUACCUACUAUAAGUGAAAUAGAUAUAGAAGGGGCCAGAAUUAAAGGUGGUUUAAUAAAAGAAAAUAAUCAAGUAUAUUAUAUAUCAAAUACAAGACGCAAAUAUUUACUUAAAGACCCAGAUGCAGCUUGUAUGAGAAAAGCCAAAACGGUCGAAGUUACUUAUCUUUUUCCUAUUGAGAGGUUUUCCAAUGGUACAAUACAUACAUAUCCGGCGAAUAUGUUUUGUGAUGAAAACCCAA